This 489-nucleotide ribosomal RNA is filed under the name Triticum aestivum (bread wheat). RNAcentral describes it as "partial small subunit ribosomal RNA". The record is from RNAcentral. Lineage: Eukaryota; Viridiplantae; Streptophyta; Magnoliopsida; Poales; Poaceae.
AUGUUCAAGCUCCUGCAACAAGAGUGCUUUCCCUGUCAGUACCCACUCGGCACACAAAGCAGGACAACAUACCAUGCCAUCAGCUAUACCUACCGAUACGUCUUGAGGUACCCCAAGCCCUUGUACAGCUCAACCAGGGCUCCUCUGAUCAUCUUCUCUGCCUGGUGCACCUUUUUCUUGUUGAUGCUCAACUUCUCACCACCAUCGCCACCAUUUCCCCCAGUCUUCCUUGACUGGCUUAGCAUGUCAUCGAACAAAAGUUCACGGAUGGCGAACACGGUCCUUGAUGGUGUGGUGACCGGAAUGUUGAUCCUCACGCUCCUGCCCUGGCAAGUGACCGCCCUCCCUGAGAAUGUCCUCAGCUUGUUGGCAGCUUCUUCUCUCGGCUUCUCAAUCCUUCCCGAGUCACCCAGACCUUCGGAGAUGGGAAGAUGGUCCUCCCCUUCAUCAGUGUUCUUUGCCGUAGCAUCGUCGGCGAGCUUUUCUUGA